UUGAUCCUGGCUCAGAAUGAACGUUGGCGGCGUGGAUUAGGCAUGCAAGUCGUGCGACAAGUUUCCCUUCGGGGAAAUGGAGGAGCGGCGCAAGGGAGAGUAACGCGUGGAUACCUGCCCCGAGGUCCGGGAUAGCCCAUCGAAAGGUGGGGUAAUNACCGGAUAACAUCUCCGGAUCAAAGGUGUGAUUCCGCCUCGGGAUGGGUCCGCGUCCUAUUAGCUUGUUGGUGGGGUAAUGGCCUACCAAGGCGACGAUGGGUAGUGGGCGUUAGCGCGUGGCCCGCCUCACUGGGACUGAGACACUGCCCAGACACCUACGGGUGGCUGCAGUCGAGAAUCUUCGGCAAUGGGCGCAAGCCUGACCGAGCGACGCCGCGUGCGGGAUGAAGGCCUUCGGGUUGUAAACCGCUGUCAGAGGGGAGGAAGGGUCCGUGAAGAGCGGAACUUGACCUAUCCUCAGAGGAAGUGCGGGCUAAGUUCGUGCCAGCAGCCGCGGUAAGACGAACCGCACAAACGUUAUUCGGAAUCACUGGGCUUAAAGGGUGCGUAGGCGGCCGUUCAAGUCGGGUGUGAAAGCCCUCAGCUUAACUGAGGAAUUGCGCCCGAUACUGUUCGGCUUGAGGGAGACAGAGGUGAGCGGAACUUGCGGUGGAGCGGUGAAAUGCGUUGAUAUCGCAAGGAACACCAGUAGCGAAAGCGGCUCACUGGGUCUCUUCUGACGCUGAGGCACGAAAAGCUAGGGUAGCGAAGAGGAUUAGAUACCCUCGUAGUCCUANGCUGUAACGCUGAGCACUUGGAUUGGAGGGUCCUCCA
This 813-nucleotide ribosomal RNA is filed under the name uncultured organism. RNAcentral's name for it is "bacterial SSU rRNA". It matches the Rfam family "Bacterial small subunit ribosomal RNA", at positions 13 to 843 of the family's 1533-position model. The record is from RNAcentral.